CGGGCCCGGCAGGCGCCUCUGGUGCUAAGGGCUGGGCAAGAUGGCGGCCUUCGGGAUCUUGAGCUACGAACACCGGCCCCUGAAGCGGCCGCGGCUGGGGCCUCCCGAUGUGUACCCUCAAGAUCCCAAACAGAAGGAGGAUGAACUGACAGCCUUGAAUGUAAAACAAGGUUUCAAUAAUCAGCCUGCUGUCUCUGGGGAUGAACACGGCAGUGCCAAGAACGUCAACUUCAAUCCUGCCAAGAUCAGUUCCAACUUCAGCAGCAUUAUUGCGGAGAAGUUACGUUGUAACACUCUCCCUGACACUGGUCGCAGGAAGCCCCAAGUGAACCAGAAGGACAACUUCUGGCUGGUGACUGCUCGAUCCCAGAGUGCCAUUAACACCUGGUUCACUGACCUGGCUGGCACCAAGCCACUCACACAACUAGCCAAAAAGGUCCCCAUUUUCAGUAAGAAGGAAGAAGUAUUUGGGUACUUAGCCAAAUACACAGUGCCCGUGAUGCGGGCUGCCUGGCUCAUUAAGAUGACCUGUGCCUACUAUGCAGCAAUCACUGAGACCAAGGUUAAGAAGAGACAUGUCAUUGACCCCUUCAUGGAGUGGACUCAGAUCAUCACCAAGUACUUAUGGGAGCAGCUGCAAAAGAUGGCUGAAUACUACCGGCCAGGGCCUGCAGGAAGUGCAGGUUGUGGUUCCACUAUAGGGCCCUUGCCCCAUGAUGUAGAGGUGGCAAUCCGGCAGUGGGACUACAACGAGAAGCUGGCCAUGUUCAUGUUUCAGGAUGGAAUGUUGGACAGACAUGAGUUCCUGACCUGGGUACUUGAGUGUUUUGAGAAAAUCCGCCCUGGAGAGGAUGAAUUGCUUAAACUGUUGCUGCCCCUGCUGCUUCGAUACUCUGGGGAAUUUGUUCAGUCCGCAUACCUCUCCCGCCGCCUUGCCUACUUCUGUACCCGGAGACUGGCCCUGCAACUGGAUGGCAUGAGCAGUCACUCGUCUCAUGUGAUGUCUGCUCAGUCGACAAGCACACUGCCCACCACCCCUGCUCCUCAGCCCCCCACUAGCAGCACACCCUCUACACCCUUUAGUGACCUACUUAUGUGCCCUCAGCACCGGCCCCUGGUUUUUGGCCUCAGUUGUAUCCUUCAGACCAUCCUCCUGUGUUGUCCUAGUGCCCUGGUUUGGCACUACUCGCUGACUGAUAGCCGAAUUAAGACUGGCUCACCACUUGACCACCUACCUAUUGCCCCCUCCAACCUGCCCAUGCCAGAGGGCAACAGUGCCUUCACUCAGCAGGUCCGUGCAAAGUUGCGGGAGAUUGAGCUGCAGAUCAAGGAGCGAGGACAGGCAGUUGAGGUUCGCUGGUCUUUUGAUAAGUGCCAGGAAGCUACUGCAGGCUUCACCAUUGGGCGGGUGCUCCAUACUUUGGAAGUGCUGGACAGCCAUAGUUUUGAGCGCUCUGACUUCAGCAACUCUCUUGACUCCCUGUGUAACCGAAUCUUUGGAUUGGGGCCUAGCAAGGAUGGGCACGAGAUCUCCUCAGAUGAUGAUGCUGUGGUAUCAUUACUGUGUGAAUGGGCUGUCAGCUGCAAGCGUUCUGGUCGGCAUCGUGCUAUGGUGGUAGCCAAGCUGCUGGAGAAGAGACAGGCAGAGAUUGAGGCUGAGCGUUGUGGAGAAUCGGAAGCCGCAGAUGAGAAGGGUUCCAUCGCCUCUGGCUCCCUUUCUGCUCCUAGUGCUCCCAUUUUCCAGGAUGUUCUCCUACAGUUUCUGGAUACACAGGCUCCCAUGCUGACGGACCCCCGAAGUGAGAGUGAGCGGGUGGAGUUCUUUAACUUGGUACUGCUGUUCUGUGAACUGAUUCGACAUGAUGUUUUCUCCCACAACAUGUAUACUUGCACCCUCAUCUCCCGAGGGGACCUUGCCUUUGGAGCCCCUGGCCCCCGGCCUCCCUCUCCCUUUGAUGACCCUGCCGAUGACCCAGAACGCAAGGAGGCUGAGGGCAGCAGCAGUAGCAAGCUGGAGGAUCCAGGCCUCUCAGAGUCUAUGGACAUCGACCCUAGUUCCAGUGUACUGUUUGAGGACAUGGAGAAGCCUGAUUUCUCAUUGUUCUCUCCUACUAUGGUCUGUGAGGGGAAGGGCAGUCCAUCUCCUGAGAAACCAGAUGUUGAGAAGGAGGUGAAGCCCCAACCCAAGGAGAAGAUAGAAGGGACCCUUGGGGUUCUUUAUGACCAGCCGCGGCAUGUGCAGUAUGCCACACACUUUCCCAUCCCCCAGGAGGAGUCAUGCAGCCAUGAGUGCAACCAGCGGUUGGUCGUACUGUUUGGGGUGGGAAAGCAGCGAGAUGAUGCCCGACAUGCCAUCAAGAAAAUUACCAAGGAUAUCCUGAAGGUUCUGAACCGCAAGGGGACCGCAGAAACUGACCAGCUUGCUCCUAUUGUGCCUCUGAAUCCUGGAGACCUGACAUUCUUAGGUGGGGAGGAUGGGCAGAAGCGGCGGCGCAACCGGCCUGAAGCCUUCCCCACUGCUGAAGAUAUCUUUGCUAAGUUCCAGCACCUUUCACAUUAUGACCAACACCAGGUCACUGCUCAGGUCUCCCGGAAUGUUCUGGAGCAGAUCACGAGCUUUGCCCUUGGCAUGUCGUACCACUUGCCCCUGGUGCAGCAUGUGCAGUUCAUCUUCGACCUCAUGGAAUAUUCACUCAGCAUCAGUGGCCUCAUCGACUUUGCCAUUCAGCUACUGAACGAACUGAGUGUAGUUGAGGCUGAGUUGCUUCUCAAAUCCUCGGAUCUGGUGGGCAGCUACACUACCAGCCUGUGCCUGUGCAUCGUGGCCGUCCUGCGGCACUAUCAUGCCUGCCUCAUCCUCAACCAGGACCAGAUGGCACAGGUCUUUGAGGGGCUGUGUGGCGUAGUGAAGCAUGGGAUGAACCGGUCAGAUGGCUCCUCUGCAGAACGCUGUAUCCUUGCUUAUCUCUAUGACCUGUACACCUCCUGUAGCCAUUUAAAGAGCAAAUUUGGGGAGCUCUUCAGCGACUUCUGCUCCAAGGUGAAGAACACCAUCUACUGCAAUGUGGAGCCAUCAGAAUCCAAUAUGCGCUGGGCACCUGAGUUCAUGAUUGACACUCUGGAGAACCCUGCAGCUCACACCUUCACCUACACGGGGCUAGGCAAGAGUCUUAGUGAGAACCCCGCUAACCGCUACAGCUUUGUCUGCAAUGCCCUUAUGCACGUCUGUGUGGGGCACCAUGAUCCCGAUAGGGUGAAUGACAUCGCAAUCCUGUGUGCAGAGCUGACUGGCUAUUGCAAGUCACUGAGUGCGGAAUGGCUUGGAGUCCUUAAGGCCUUGUGCUGCUCCUCUAACAACGGCACUUGUGGUUUCAACGACCUCCUCUGCAAUGUAGAUGUCAGUGACCUGUCUUUUCAUGAUUCCCUGGCUACUUUUGUUGCCAUCCUCAUCGCUCGGCAGUGUUUGCUCCUAGAGGAUCUGAUUCGCUGUGCUGCCAUCCCUUCACUCCUUAAUGCUGCUUGCAGUGAGCAGGACUCUGAGCCCGGGGCCCGACUUACCUGCCGCAUCCUCCUCCACCUUUUCAAGACACCUCAACUCAAUCCUUGCCAGUCGGAUGGAACUCCCUCCCCAGACAAACCUACUGUAGGAAUCCGCUCCUCCUGUGACCGCCACCUGCUGGCUGCCUCCCAGAACCGCAUCGUGGAUGGAGCUGUGUUUGCUGUUCUCAAGGCUGUGUUUGUACUUGGGGAUGCGGAACUGAAAGGUUCAGGCUUCACUGUGACAGGAGGAACAGAAGAACUUCCAGAGGAGGAGGGAGGAGGUGGCAGUGGCGGUCGGAGGCAGGGUGGCCGCAACAUCUCUGUGGAGACAGCCAGUCUGGAUGUCUAUGCCAAGUACGUGCUGCGCAGCAUCUGCCAACAGGAAUGGGUAGGAGAGCGUUGCCUUAAAUCGCUGUGUGAGGACAGCAAUGACCUACAGGACCCAGUGUUGAGUAGUGCCCAGGCCCAGCGCCUCAUGCAGCUCAUCUGCUACCCACAUCGACUACUGGACAAUGAGGAUGGGGAAAACCCCCAGCGGCAACGCAUUAAGCGUAUUCUCCAGAACUUGGACCAGUGGACCAUGCGCCAGUCUUCCUUGGAGCUGCAGCUCAUGAUCAAGCAGACCCCUAGCAAUGAGAUGAACUCCCUCUUAGAGAACAUUGCCAAGGCCACAAUCGAAGUGUUCCAACAGUCAGCGGAGACAGGGUCAUCUUCUGGAAACACUGCAAGCAACAUGCCCAGCAGCAGCAAGACCAAGCCUGUGCUCAGCUCUCUAGAGCGCUCUGGUGUAUGGCUGGUGGCCCCCCUCAUUGCUAAACUGCCCACCUCAGUCCAGGGGCAUGUGUUAAAGGCUGCAGGGGAGGAAUUGGAGAAGGGCCAGCACCUGGGUUCCUCUUCCCGCAAAGAACGUGAUCGACAAAAGCAGAAGAGUAUGUCCCUGUUGAGCCAGCAGCCCUUCUUAUCCCUGGUGCUGACGUGUCUGAAAGGGCAGGAUGAGCAGCGUGAAGGACUCCUUACCUCCCUCUACAGCCAAGUGCACCAGAUUGUGAAUAAUUGGCGAGAUGACCAGUACUUAGAUGAUUGCAAACCAAAGCAGCUAAUGCAUGAGGCACUCAAACUGCGGCUCAACCUGGUGGGGGGCAUGUUUGACACGGUGCAGCGCAGCACCCAGCAGACCACAGAGUGGGCUGUGCUCCUCUUGGAGAUCAUCAUCAGCGGCACUGUCGACAUGCAGUCCAACAAUGAGCUCUUCACCACUGUAUUGGACAUGCUGAGUGUGCUCAUCAAUGGGACCCUGGCUGCGGACAUGUCCAGCAUCUCUCAAGGCAGCAUGGAGGAAAACAAACGUGCCUACAUGAACCUGGUGAAGAAGCUGCGGAAAGAGUUGGGGGAACGUCAGUCAGACAGUCUGGAAAAAGUUCGCCAGCUGCUGCCACUGCCCAAGCAGACCCGCGAUGUCAUCACAUGUGAGCCACAGGGCUCCCUUAUUGACACCAAGGGCAACAAGAUUGCCGGCUUCGAUUCCAUCUUCAAGAAAGAGGGUCUACAGGUUUCCACCAAACAAAAGAUCUCUCCCUGGGAUCUCUUUGAGGGCCUGAAACCAUCAGCACCACUCUCUUGGGGCUGGUUUGGAACCGUCCGGGUUGACCGGCGGGUGGCCCGAGGCGAGGAGCAGCAGCGGUUGCUGCUCUACCACACACACCUCCGGCCCCGGCCCCGCGCCUAUUACCUGGAGCCACUGCCACUGCCACCAGAGGAUGAGGAGCCCCCUGCUCCCACCCUGCUAGAGCCUGAGAAAAAGGCUCCAGAGCCACCCAAAGCUGACAAGCCUGGGGCUGCUCCACCUAGUACUGAGGAACGCAAGAAGAAGUCCACGAAGGGCAAGAAACGCAGCCAGCCCGCCACCAAGACAGAGGACUAUGGAAUGGGCCCAGGGCGGAGUGGCCCCUAUGGUGUGACAGUGCCUCCAGACCUCCUGCACCACGCUAACCCUGGUUCCAUAUCCCACCUUAGCUACAGGCAGGGUUCCAUAGGCCUGUACACCCAGAACCAGCCACUACCUGCAGGUGGGCCUCGUGUGGACCCAUACCGUCCUGUGCGGUUACCAAUGCAGAAGCUGCCGACCCGACCACCUUACCCUGGAGUGCUGCCCACAACCAUGACUGGCGUCAUGGGACUGGAACCCUCCUCCUACAAGACCUCUGUGUACCGACAGCAGCAGCCUGCGGUGCCCCAAGGACAGCGCCUUCGCCAACAGCUCCAGGCAAAGAUACAGAGUCAGGGGAUGUUGGGACAGUCAUCUGUCCAUCAGAUGACUCCCAGCUCUUCCUACGGUUUGCAGACCUCCCAGGGCUAUACUCCUUAUGUUUCUCAUGUGGGAUUGCAGCAACACACAGGCCCCGCAGGUACCAUGGUGCCCCCCAGCUACUCCAGCCAGCCUUAUCAGAGCACCCACCCUUCUACCAAUCCUACUCUUGUAGAUCCUACUCGCCACCUGCAACAGCGGCCCAGUGGCUAUGUGCACCAGCAGGCCCCAACCUACGGACAUGGGCUGACCGCCAGUCAAAGGUUUUCACACCAGACACUGCAGCAAACACCCAUGAUAGGUACCAUGACUCCGCUGGGCGCCCAGGGCGUCCAGGCCGGCGUCCGAUCAGCUUCCAUCCUGCCUGAGCAGCAGCAGCAGCAGCAGCAGCAACAGCAGCAGCAGCAGCAGCAGCAGCAGCAGCAGCAGCAGUAUCACAUCCGGCAGCAGCAGCAGCAGCAGAUCCUGCGGGUAAGGCUCUGGGAUUUCCUCUGGGACCUGGGAGCCCAAGGAGGAGAGACACAAGCUCUUCCAGGUUGUUAUCAAGACUGAAUGAGGCCAUGUACGUAAAGUGCCCGGCAGAGUGGCUGCCACAUAGUGGGGGCUUAAGAAGUUAGUUCCCUCCCCUCCCCUGUUUUGUUCUGGGGGUCCUGGUGGGAGAGAGUUGGGAGUUGUCUGCUGGGUCCUCUAGAUGUGUUUUCUUCCUCUGAAACUCUCUGAGGAGGGAGGGCAGUGGACCCAGAGUUCCCUCCCUGCUGCUGCUUCCCCGUCCCCAUCCCUCCGCCACUGAGGCUCAACUCCCUUGCUCUCCUUAGAAGUAUCUCUCAUGUUUUUACAGCAGCAGCAACAGCAGCAGCAGCAGCAGCAGCAGCAGCAGCAGCAGCAGCAGCAGCAGCAACAGCAGCAGCAGCAGCAGCAGCAACAGCAGCAACAACAAGCACACCAGCAACAGCAGCAGCAGGCGGCUCCUCCCCAACCCCAGCCCCAGUCCCAGCCCCAGUUCCAGCGCCAGGGGCUUCAGCAGACGCAGCAACAGCAACAGACAGCAGCUUUGGUCCGGCAACUCCAACAACAGCUCUCCAAUACCCAGCCACAGCCCAGUACCAACAUAUUUGGACGCUUCUGAGCCACCUGGAGGAACCACUUGUGCACUGGAUGUGGCCCCCCCCUUUCCUCUUAAUUCCCAAUCCCCUUCCUGGGCUAGCACCAGUAGUGGUUGGGGCUCUUCCCUCAGGCUCCAUUUUUAAUGAGUUUUUAGUAUUUUUGUUAAUGUGAGGCAUUGAGCUGUUGGGUUUUGUAUAUUAUUUAUAUAGAGACCCCAGAGCUGUUGCACCCAAUACACAGAGCUUCUUUGCAAAGGGAA
Ceratotherium simum simum (southern white rhinoceros) is the source of this 7208-nucleotide non-coding RNA. Lineage: Eukaryota; Metazoa; Chordata; Mammalia; Perissodactyla; Rhinocerotidae. The record is from RefSeq and is a predicted model, not a curated record.